RNAcentral lists this ribosomal RNA (460 nucleotides) under uncultured bacterium. RNAcentral's name for it is "partial 16S ribosomal RNA". It matches the Rfam family "Bacterial small subunit ribosomal RNA", at positions 338 to 795 of the family's 1533-position model. The record is from RNAcentral.
CCUACGGGAGGCUGCAGUGAGGAAUAUUGGUCAAUGGACGAGAGUCUGAACCAGCCAAGUAGCGUGAAGGAUGACUGUCCUAUGGGUUGUAAACUUCUUUUAUAAAGGAAUAAAACGAGGCACGUGUGCCUUUUUGCAUGUACUUUAUGAAUAAGGAUCGGCUAACUCCGUGCCAGCAGCCGCGGUAAUACGGAGGAUCCGAGCGUUAUCCGGAUUUCUUGGGUUUAAAGGGAGCGUGGAUGGGUUGUUCAGUCAGUUGUGAAAGUUUGCGGCUCAACCGUAAAAUUGCAAUUGAUACUGGCAGUCUUGAGUACAGUUGAGGUAAGCGGAAUUCGUGGUGGAGCGGUGAAAUGCUUAGAUAUCACGAAGAACCCCGAUUGCGAAGGCAGCUUACUAAACUGUGACUGACAUUGAUGCUCGAAAGUGUGGGUAUCAAACAGGAUUAGAUACCCUUGUAGUC